ACAGCAGCUGAGCUACCUUCACGUGUUCUGCAGUAACACAGACAUUUACUGCAGGGCUAAUCCGUAAUCAAAUGCUGCUAGAGCUGACUGUGCUUCAUCUUGUUCCUUAAACUAGUCACAGCUGAACUAGCCAAGGCUCGCAUUGGCUAUUUUUUAGGACGCAGCUGACUAAUUCAGUCUUUCUUUAGAUCAAGAGGUGGACAAAUAUGCAAAUCUACUUUGCAGAUGGGACUUAAGCUGGCCAUAUAAUUUUAACUACUUCUGAAGGACCUUGGGAACUUCAAUGCCCAGAAAGAAACUGAAAGGAAAGACGGAUCUGUCCCGUUCUCUGCGAGCUGAGUAUCAGUUCUGGUGACAAGAAGCUAUGUAAGUUUGCUCUCAUGGCAGAUGAGGCAAAUAGCAUUCAGGCUGCAUCGGAAAGAGCAUGCCCAAGCAGAUCAGGGAGGCUGCUAUCUCCAUCUACUGAAAAGAGUGAAUUUUCCCCUUGCUCUGGUGCUGAAGGCAUUUAGCUUUGUUCCUGUUUACCACUUGAGGGAUGAGUGGUUACUGGUAUUCACUCGUGCUCCUUGGCUUUGGGAUUGCUCACUACUGCCAUAACACGAGACCGGUGUUUUGAGCCACUGAGGGCCAGGGUCUGCUCUCCUUGUUCUCUGCAGCUAGGGUCACUUCUCUGCUCGUGUCUGAAAAAUACUUGGGCAAGCCUCUACUUCUAAAUGAGGUGUUUCCUAAUUUUUUUUUUUUCCCUAGAAGGCUUUGCAACUGUGUGUUAUAGAAAUGUUAAUCUACCAUAAAGACCUCUUUCCUAUAGUAUCUGAUUUAAAAAAAAGUGCUGCUUUGCUCACUCAGCUAAAGUCCGUGCAGGGCUGCAACUCUUCAUGGUGGUGCAAAGGGACAAAAGCGAUAGAAGAAACCUCUACAAAAGCUGUAGACGCAUCAUGCUACGUUUUAGAGCGUUCACGAAUUUAUCUUGCUGUUAUCUAAUAAAAAAAUCAGGAUUGCUUUUUAGGCUUGAGGUUGUGAAGAGAAAGCAAGCACUUCAGAAAUCUAUUAAUAAUUGGAAAUAACACAACUUUCCUAGUUGAAGUUUUUCUUUUACUGUAAGGUGCAAGACUUGCUAAUGGCAGGUAAGUACCUUUAUCAGAGAGGGAUGCAAACACUUCUGUGGGGUAGCUACACCAUAAUGUACUCAGCGAUAAAUUCCCCUCUGCCUUCAGAAUAAGGGAUGACAUCUCAGGAAUAGUAGCAGGCAGCCUAGCUUCUAAAAAGGGCGAAACAUUGCCAUCUUGAGGUUGCUUUUCUGUAUGGUGUCUAAGUGUGAUGAGAAAAGUAUUCAGCUACAGGUAAUUAAAAAGAAAACAUCUUCAGUUCUGCUUGAAAGGCUCUGAUGGAACACAGAGAUAAAGCUCGUGCAACAGACAACUUGAUUUUCGUUAAAUGUGCCCUUUUCAUCAUUUUUUAAAGAAGAAAAGUAUUUAUCAUGUUGCAGAAUCCUAUUAAAAUAUGAAGUACUCUUUUGUUAAAUAACAAUAAAAGGGAAAAAGUCCAAGGUAUUUUAACCAUAGCUAUUAAUUUUAAGAAGUCCUAAUGAUCCAAGAUCUGGGUGGAUCAAUUUGAUGUUGAAUUUUAGCCCUCAAAAUGCUCAUGAUUUCAGCACGGUGUGUGUGGGGUUGAAGUCCAACAGAAUUGCAGAGACAAAGGAGAAAUUCCCCAGCGCUUCUCAGGCAGGCUUUUUAGUGCUUGCUUGUGUAUAAAAAUUAAAGAUUAUCUGGGAGCAAUUUAAUUAACUUUCUCUUAUAUAGUUGACCUAAUCAUUGACUUUGAACCUGCUGCUGAGUGUCUGUGUUUUUUAGCUUCUUUGUCCAAGAAACAGUUGUCAGGCUACCUGAAAUGUAUAAAUGACUCCAAGGAUAACGUGAAAUAUGCUCAGAGAAUAACUUUGCUGUGUAGAUGCUAGUAAAGGUAAUCGGCAGGCCCCUGAGCACUGCGUACGUGCCAGCUGAACACCUCUCAGUAUCACCUCUGCUGUGAUUGUGAAGGGUGCUCGUGUUACAGGGUACAUCCUCACUUGUAGAGGGAAUCCGAAUUUUGCAGUUAGGAUCAUGGACAUACUUUGUAUUACGUUAAUUUUCCUUCUUAUGGGCUAAUUUACAGAAAUAGUAUCUGAGCUCUGAGAUGAAGUGUAUGGAAAGAACUGAUGGAAAUCCAGAAAUUAUAGGAUUUAGGAUUCCAUCAUUAGGAUUUAAUAAUGGAGUAGCUUUUAUUUCCUUUGUUCUUUGUCCCUCAGAGUAGUACAUGUUAACUAAACUGAUUUCAUUCUUUUUAAAAUGAGGACUGAAUUUCUUCAAUAUCCCACUUAGUACCUCUUUUUUUGUGGGUUUUGUCAUUGUUGUUGUUUUUUAUACAUAGGGCAAAAGAUGCUCAAAAUAGAAUGCUUUCAUGAGCCCUGGUUUCUAUAGGCUUAGGGUUGUUUCAGGUCAGGGCAAAGGUCUGUCUAGUCCACUAAUUUUUCGAACAGCAGUCAGUAGCAGAUGCAAAGGGAACACUUGAAGAAGCAGCCAAGAAUAUUUCACCACCCAUUUUUCUACUCAGAUAUUCAGUUAUGGCAAGUCCAAUACUAAAAUAUGGACAUAUUUAGGUAUUUAUCUAUGUUCAUAUACACAACCAUGCCAAGAAACAACCUCCUGGCAGGUAAUUCAAAGAAAAACGUUUUUACUGAAUU
Anas platyrhynchos (mallard) is the source of this 2719-nucleotide long non-coding RNA. RefSeq lists it as uncharacterized. The record is from RefSeq and is a predicted model, not a curated record. Lineage: Eukaryota; Metazoa; Chordata; Aves; Anseriformes; Anatidae.